GGACAACAGUUGGAAACGACUGCUAAUACCGCAUAAGCCCACGACCCGGCAUCGGGUUGAGGGAAAAGGAGCAAUCCGCUUUGAGAUGGCCUCGCGUCCGAUUAGCUAGUUGGUGAGGUAACGGCCCACCAAGGCGACGGUCGGUAGCCGGACUGAGAGGUUGAACGGCCACAUUGGGACUGAGACACGGCCCAGACUCCUACGGGAGGCAGCAGUGGGGAAUAUUGCACAAUGAGGGAAACCCUGAUGCAGCGACGCCGCGUGGAGGAAGAAGGUCUUCGGAUUGUAAACUCCUGUUGUUGAGGAAGAUAAUGACGGUACUCAACAAGGAAGUGACGGCUAACUACGUGCCAGCAGCCGCGGUAAAACGUAGGUCACAAGCGUUGUCCGGAAUUACUGGGUGUAAAGGGAGCGCAGGCGGGAAGACAAGUUGGAAGUGAAAUCCAUGGGCUCAACCCAUGAACUGCUUUCAAAACUGUUUUUCUUGAGUAGUGCAGAGGUAGGCGGAAUUCCCGGUGUAGCGGUGGAAUGCGUAGAUAUCGGGAGGAACACCAGUGGCGAAGGCGGCCUACUGGGCACCAACUGACGCUGAGGCUCGAAAGUGUGGGUAGCAAACAGGAUUAGAUACCCUGGUAGUCCACACCGUAAACGAUGAUUACUAGGUGUUGGAGGAUUGACCCCUUCAGUGCCGCAG
RNAcentral lists this ribosomal RNA (694 nucleotides) under uncultured bacterium. RNAcentral's name for it is "bacterial SSU rRNA". It matches the Rfam family "Bacterial small subunit ribosomal RNA", at positions 141 to 851 of the family's 1533-position model. The record is from RNAcentral.